This is a long non-coding RNA of Saccostrea cuccullata (small rock oyster), 648 nucleotides long. RefSeq lists it as uncharacterized. The transcript has 5 exons. Lineage: Eukaryota; Metazoa; Mollusca; Bivalvia; Ostreida; Ostreidae. The record is from RefSeq and is a predicted model, not a curated record.
GUGAAUGUGUAUUUGAGUUCAGCAUGUUUCUGGUUUACACACAGCUUUCAGGGGGAAAUUAAAUAGUUUAACAAAGCCGAAGGGUUGUCCGACUUACGAUGUAUGAAUUUCAUGUCAUAAGAAAUUGGGUGCGAGCGUCCACCAGGAAUAUUUCGAUCGAAAUACAGAUUUCUCUUGAAUCCGAGAUGUUAUUUAUCAGCUGAUUAUAGAGGAGGAGUUUUGUCAUUGAUGGGUACCAACGUCAUAUUUAUGAUAUUGUGGCUGCAUCACUUUUGUUUGGCAGAGGUACAAGAGAGCCAGUAACACAGAUAAAAGAUGCAGUUCCUAAGAGAUCCAAAGUCAGCAGCACCUAAGACUUUACUGACUUUGAAUUAUCAGCAUCCAAAACAAUGCAAAUCAAAUACAGGUUUUGUCUGUACAUCUGGCAAUCUUAGGACAAUACUGGAUGGUUUUAACUAAGAACUGAUCCAGCAUGAAGACCAGUCAUGUGCCUCACCUGUCAUGACAUUAUUAAAGUACUUUGUGACAGUGGGAUGAUGGAAUAUUAAAGAAUGGACAUGGCUCUAUAUUACUGCAUCAGAGAUCAAUCAAGGUUUACUUAUAAAUCGAAGAAAAACACUUAAACAGUCAAGCAUCAUUUGAAGCUAC